RNAcentral lists this long non-coding RNA (1022 nucleotides) under Phascolarctos cinereus (koala). Its description in RNAcentral is "lncRNA (ENSPCIG00000029544.2)". The record is from RNAcentral. Lineage: Eukaryota; Metazoa; Chordata; Mammalia; Diprotodontia; Phascolarctidae.
CCCUGUAGAAGUAUUUCCUCAUAAUCAGACACGCUCAAGCUGCAAAGGGCAACUAGAGGCGAUCUCCAUCUUUCUAAUCACCACUUCAGUCUUACAGUCUCUCCUUCUCCCCAGGUGUCAGAGGUUAGGACAAGGUCACUACCACAGCUGUUGCUACUGAUGAGCAUUCUGUCCCUGUCUCUGUCUUCCUGCCUUCUGUAUUCUCUCUCCCCAUCUUGUUCAAGCUUCCUGUGGGAUGACAUAACACCACAUUCUAAAUUCUAAAUUGCUUAGUAUUUCUGCCACUUUUCUAAGACUAGGAAAAGCAGCAAACACUACAAGCCCCAGAAUUCUUAGCAAGGAUCCUGACAAUUUCCUCUGUCUGCAAGGGAAGAAGGUGAUGCAAAGGGCUGUUGCACCUAUAAAGAAAUCAACUUUUAUAAGACAUAUUGGAAUGAAAACCAGAUGUAUCUGUGGAUGGGGGAUACAAGGCUCUGCCCGGCCUAUCCAGAAACAGCUAUAAGAGCUAUGAGAAACUGCUUGUUACAGAAACCAGGCAGCUCCCCACCCAGGAGAGAGAUAAAGAGCCCUGACUCUCAGAGAUAAACCCCAUUAGCAUGUGGGCCCCUCAAGGUUAGGAACCCUGUUUUUGCUUUUCUUCCUUUCUUUCUUUCUUUCUUUCUUUUUUUUUUUUGGUACGCCCAGUGCUUAGCCUGGUAUAUAGCAAGCACUUAAUACAUGUUUAUUGAUGAUGAUAGUGAUAAAACUGGAGAAUGAGCUUUCAUGGAAAUGGAGACUGAGGAGGUUGGACAGACUCACUAAAUGAAGUCUUGGAGACAGCUUAGCCAGAGGCCCUAAGUCUUGCCAGAGUAGAGUGGUCAGUGAGGAAGACAAAAUUCCCCUUUCCAUUCCUUCCUUCCUUGGAGGCAGAUUGUACGCAGAAGCCCUUUGAUCUGAAAAGACUAGCACCUCUCCUAUAUCCCAAAAUUUUGAGAACACACAUGAAUUUUUUUUCCUGGGGAGAAUGUAAAGGCAAUAUGGGG